This 374-nucleotide ribosomal RNA is filed under the name uncultured organism. Its description in RNAcentral is "partial 16S ribosomal RNA". It matches the Rfam family "Bacterial small subunit ribosomal RNA", at positions 527 to 896 of the family's 1533-position model. The record is from RNAcentral.
GUAGGUGGCAAGCGUUGUCCGGAAUUAUUGGGCGUAAAGCGCGCGCAGGCGGUCCUUUAAGUCUGAUGUGAAAGCCCACGGCUCAACCGUGGAGGGUCAUUGGAAACUGGGGGACUUGAGUACAGAAGAGGAAAGCGGAAUUCCAAGUGUAGCGGUGAAAUGCGUAGAGAUUUGGAGGAACACCAGUGGCGAAGGCGGCUUUCUGGUCUGUAACUGACGCUGAGGCGCGAAAGCGUGGGGAGCAAACAGGAUUAGAUACCCUGGUAGUCCACACCGUAAACGAUGAGUGCUAAGUGUUAGGGGGUUUCCCGCCCCCCUUAGUGCUGCAGCUAACGCAUUAAGCACUCCGCCUGGGGAGUACGGCUGCAAGGCUG